Long non-coding RNA from Felis catus (domestic cat), 1401 nucleotides. RefSeq lists it as uncharacterized. The record is from RefSeq and is a predicted model, not a curated record. NCBI's taxonomy places the organism in Eukaryota, Metazoa, Chordata, Mammalia, Carnivora, Felidae. The transcript has 2 exons.
AUCAUCUCCGGGCCCGACGGGGGCUGGGGGAAUGGAACGGGGCGAUUCGGUCCCAGCUAGAGGGAAGUGAAAAUCGGGACUCGAGACGGACUAGAAGGCAUAGUUUUAAAUCCCGUUUAACUUUCUGAGCCUUGGUCUUCGCUGACAAACGAGAGCAUGGAUGUCAGGAAGGAAGCAGUCAAGAGAGGAGAGGAUUGCCCCCUGGCUAGCCAGAAGGGGUCAGAGUCUGAAUGGAGACUAAACUCUGGGGUGCUAAUCACUACAUUCUGUGGAAUCCCAGAUGAGAGAUGGGAGAGAAGAGGCUAAUAAUCUAAUUGCAGAUCUGGGAGAUGGGAUUAUGGAGACAGAACUGAUCUUUGGUGUCUGUGCAUGAAGAAAUAAACCAAAUCUGCAUCUACAAAACCGUGAGAGAGAAGAGAGAGCGGUCAGUAAGUCUGCUGAGAUUUCAGUCAUCCGGUGUGACUGUGGCAAGACCUGAUACCUUAUUUUGACAGAAGAAUUCCCAAGUAUUUUCCCCCAUAUCUACUCUUGUUGGUUUUACAAAAGGAGCAUCACAUGGCUUCUGCCCUCCUGGAGUAUACUGUCUAGCUGCGAAGGAAAGAAAAUGGAAAGAAUGCGGGGGGUGAGGGGAGAAGGAGGAGAGGAAGAAGGAGGAAGAGAAGGAGGAAGAGAAACAGCCUUCUUUACUACAGCAGGUGCCAGUCAACCCCUAUUUUCCGGUGGAGAAGCAGUGCUGAUGGGAAUGUCCAAGUCAGGAAGUAACAGACAAAGUGGCCAGCUCUGCUCAUGCCUUCCCCCUCGAACCUGCUCUGCCUCUGGGGUGCUCUCUGAUUCCAGUAUUCUCACUAUUAGUCUGGUCCAAACAUGGAUACAGACCACUCCCCUCGUUCGACGAGGCUGGGUUUAUCCAAACGAUCUGCAUCAAGUCAACACAAGGGACCCCGGGCCUUGAAGACUCAGUCCUGGUCCACAUUCUGCCUAAAGGGCAUUUCUAGCACCAGAGAAAAGCAGAACAUCAUAGGCACGACACUGGCCUGCUUUCUUCCGGCUUCUGCUACAGGAUCCUCUGCUCACUAUUUAGAGGCAUUCUCCCGGUCUCUUUGCCAUCUUCUGAGCCAAGGUCAAAGAUUCCAGUUCUGAUACGGACAGGAACAACCUUUCUGGAGGACGAUUUGACAGCACUGAUCAAAAAAUCUUUAAAAUAUGCAUUGCUGUUGUUGCGACAUUACUAAAUUGUGACACAGCUAUUCCAUUUAUAGAAAUAUUCCAAGGAAAUAAAAAUAGACCGUGGACAAAGAUUUAAUCUACAGCACCCAUCAGGGCGCUAUUUACAUAAUAAUGAAAGAACUCACAUGCUCAAACCUGGGGGUUAAUUAAAUAAAUUACGGUAUAUGCUUAGAA